UACGGAGGGUGCAAGCGUUAUCCGGAAUCACUGGGUUUAAAGGGUGCGUAGGCGGUCAGAUAAGUCAGUCGUGAAAUUCUCCGGCUUAACCGGGUGGACUGCGAUUGAUACUGUUUGACUUGAAUGAGGUUGAGGUAGGCGGAAUGUGGCAUGUAGCGGUGAAAUGCUUAGAUAUGCCAUAGAACACCGAUUGCGAAGGCAGCUUGCUGGGCCUUCAUUGACGCUGAGGCACGAAAGCGUGGGGAGCAAACAGG
RNAcentral lists this ribosomal RNA (254 nucleotides) under uncultured bacterium. RNAcentral describes it as "partial 16S ribosomal RNA". It matches the Rfam family "Bacterial small subunit ribosomal RNA", at positions 524 to 776 of the family's 1533-position model. The record is from RNAcentral.